CGUUAGUCCAAGAUGAAAGCGGACAAGUACAUUACUGUGGGAGGCAAAGGCCAGAAGGACCAUCUUUCACAGGCAGAAACGUCAGCAGGCAAGUUGCUGAAAGCUGCUGAGAUAAAGGAAGACACUAGCAUUCUUGUGCAUAUUCGAGACAAAGACUGUGUCUCUGGAGGUGCGAUACCACAAGUCCUGUUAUAGACAGUACACCAAAUUCUUGACAAAGUCUAGUGCAUCAGUUACUGUGACCUCAGAAGAACAAAAUGAGCCAACCUUCGAUGCCAGCUACAAGAUCUUCUGUGACAGGAUCAUCCCCCAUAGAAUAAUUGUAAACCAAGAGGUGUUGACAAUGACUCAGCUAAGAAGGAUCUUUUUAAAUCUGGUGAAAAAACAUGAAGAUCUUGAUGCUUCAAACUACAGGCAGGAUAAAUUGAAGAGGAGGUUGGCCCAUGAUUUCCCCCAGCUGGUGUUUCACUCCCCCAAGAAGCGCAACAUAAGUGAGAUGGUUUUAGUUGAGACAUUGUCUGCAGAUAAGCUGAUAGACAGGCUACCUCAUCCAUCAGGUACGGAAACAACAGAGUCAACUGAGGUAACUAGCGAAAGUGACUGUGAAAACAGGGCUAGUGCAAAAGCUGGUCCACAAAGACCAAGUUCAAUGGCCUCCAUCAAUACUGCGGAGGACACGAGGACACUUUACAGUGCGGCAUUAAUAUUAAAGAUGCUUCUGUGUGACUCUCCCGGUAUGAAAUGCUCGUGGCCACCCACAUCAGAUGACCUAAAUGUGAGCUAGGCAAAAUCUGUCCUUCCAAUUGAACUGUACAAUCUGAUUUCCUGGAUUAUUGGUGCAACUGAGGAACCAACACUGGCCCAUUAUGUUGAUAUUCUAGAUGAUUUGAACCUAAAAGUGAUAUCUAUCUGUCAAGACAUUGUGUAUCUUGCAUCUAAGGGUCGGAGGCAGACCCCUAAGUGAUUAG
Long non-coding RNA from Lethenteron reissneri (Far Eastern brook lamprey), 968 nucleotides. RefSeq lists it as uncharacterized. The record is from RefSeq and is a predicted model, not a curated record. NCBI's taxonomy places the organism in Eukaryota, Metazoa, Chordata, Hyperoartia, Petromyzontiformes, Petromyzontidae.